GACAGAGGUCCCAAGCGUUAGGCGGAAUCACUGGGCUUAAAGCGUGUGUAGGCGGAUUUGUAAGUACCUUGUGAAAUCCCACGGCUCAACCGUGGAACUGCUUGGUAUACUGCUUAUCUUGGGCCAUCUAGGGGCGAGCGGAACAAACGGUGGAGCGGUGAAAUGCGUAGAUAUCGGGAGGAACACCUGUGGCGAAGGCGGCCCCCUGGUUGGAUACUGACGCUGAUACGCGAAAGCGUGGGGAGCAAACAGG
Molecule: ribosomal RNA, 253 nt
Filed under: uncultured bacterium
Lineage: Bacteria
Description: partial 16S ribosomal RNA
Rfam family: Bacterial small subunit ribosomal RNA
Source: RNAcentral